This is a non-coding RNA of Gossypium hirsutum (cotton), 138 nucleotides long. NCBI's taxonomy places the organism in Eukaryota, Viridiplantae, Streptophyta, Magnoliopsida, Malvales, Malvaceae. The record is from Rfam.
AAUUAAAAUGUUCAUCCAUUUCUACGAAUAAAAACUAUCAUGGCUAACAAAAUAACCAAAUAGUUAGACAUGGCAUACUAUAUGUACCUCAUACAUGGACCAAUUUUUAACAAUAGAAAUUGAUGACUUUUUUUAACA